Molecule: transfer RNA, 77 nt
Filed under: Monticola gularis (White-throated rock-thrush)
Lineage: Eukaryota; Metazoa; Chordata; Aves; Passeriformes; Muscicapidae
Description: tRNA-Leu
Rfam family: tRNA
About the family: Transfer RNA (tRNA) molecules are approximately 80 nucleotides in length.
Source: RNAcentral
GCUAGCGUGGCAGAAGCUCGGGCAAAUGCAAAAAGCUUAAGUCCCUUAAUUCAGAGGUUCAAAUCCUCUCCUUAGCU